UGCAUUCACUACUGUAAGUCGCUCUGGAUAAGAGUGUCUGCUAAAUGACUCUAA
This is a non-coding RNA of Salmo salar (Atlantic salmon), 54 nucleotides long. NCBI's taxonomy places the organism in Eukaryota, Metazoa, Chordata, Actinopteri, Salmoniformes, Salmonidae. The record is from Rfam.